CUGGAGAGGAAACGAAAGCAUAGAAAGCUGGAAAGGAAGAGAGAUGGUUGGCUGAUGGCUUCUCUCUUUUUUUCUUUCCCCGUUUUAACUUAUCUAUCUAUUUCCAUGGCCACUAUAUAUUACCAACAACUAUCCCUUUGAGUUCUUCAUUCUCUAUUUCUUUCAUAAAUAGUGUUAAUUGAGGACGGAUGGCAUGGAUUCCCUGUUCCGGUAUUUCAAGAGCCAAUAACUCAAAGAAGAAGACGAAGAAAUGGAUGAUCAUCAACCAGAAGCAACUUGAUCAGAUCAAACCCACUUCAGAGAAAUUGGAGUGCAAUUCCCCUUUAAGUGUUAAGGAUGCUUCUAAACAUGGAGGGUCAGAUAACAUUUCAGCACUGACAUUUACAUUCCGUGAAUUGGCAACCGCAGCUAAAAAUUUUAGAGCAGAAACUUUGUUGGGUGAGGGAGGAUUUGGAAGGGUGUACAAAGGGCGUCUAGAAAGCACUAACCAGGUUGUAGCUAUCAAGCAACUUAAUCGUAAUGGUUUGCAAGGGAACAGGGAAUUUCUAGUUGAAGUGUUGAUGUUAAGUCUACUUCACCACCCUAAUCUUGUUAAUCUAAUUGGUUAUUGUGCUGAUGGAGAUCAAAGGCUACUGGUUUAUGAGUACAUGCCUCUAGGAUCUUUAGAAGACCAUUUGCAUGAUAUUUCACCAGGCAUGAAACGACUUGAUUGGAACACAAGAAUGAAAAUAGCAGCUGGUGCAGCGAAAGGAUUGGAGUAUUUACAUGAUAAAGCUAGUCCCCCUGUUAUAUAUCGAGAUUUAAAGUGCUCCAACAUUUUGCUUGGUGAGGGCUAUCAUCCUAAGCUCUCUGAUUUUGGCUUGGCUAAACUUGGGCCUGUUGGAGAUCACACCCAUGUAUCCACUAGGGUCAUGGGCACCUAUGGAUACUGUGCCCCAGAAUAUGCAAUGACAGGUCAGCUGACUAUCAAAUCAGAUGUUUAUAGUUUUGGGGUUGUUCUUCUGGAAAUCAUUACAGGCCGAAAGGCAAUCGACAGUUCGAAAGCUACAGGGGAGCAAAAUCUUGUUGCUUGGGCAAGCCCCUUGCUCAAAGACCGAAAAAAAUUCUCACAAAUGGCUGAUCCAAUGCUUCAAGGUCAGUAUCCUCCAAGGGGUUUGUACCAAGCUCUUGCUAUUGCAGCAAUGUGUGUCCAGGAGCAGCCUAAUUUGAGACCAGUUAUAGCUGAUGUGGUUACAGCUUUGACUUACCUUGCUUCACAAAAAUAUGACCCAGAUGCACAGACGGCCCCUGGCACUCCUAGAAGAACAAAGAAGGAAGCAAAGCUCAGUAGUGGCAGGAUCUGACAGGUUUCAAACCAAGGGGAUUAAGUUAAGAUUGUUCCACUACUGAUUGUUGAUAUCUUGGAUUCCUUGUGCUUGACAAGGAAAUAUUAAUGCUCAAAAGGAUUGCAUACAAAUUAAUGUAGAUCACAAGGCUCAGAGUUUUAGCAUCGGCCACAUCUCAUUAGGGCCUUCAUAUCAAAUUUUUGUGUCAUUCCGGGUAUUUGGUAUUUUUUAUAUUAGCAGAUACGUCUUGAACCAGAGUAGUUGGUUGUAAUCAUAUACAUAUUCCCAACGACCUAUGUUGAUCCCUAUUGUUUGUUAAUACCAGGUGCGAGGGCUUUCUAAUGCUGGUGGUUGUAUAUUUCUUGUUCUUCAACAUAUGAAAGCCUUGUAAAAUUAAACAGUUCGAUAAUAGAACAUGGCACUGAGAUGCAAAUGGAAACGUAGGCUUGCAAGC
This 1779-nucleotide unclassified non-coding RNA is filed under the name Hevea brasiliensis (rubber tree). Lineage: Eukaryota; Viridiplantae; Streptophyta; Magnoliopsida; Malpighiales; Euphorbiaceae. The record is from RNAcentral.